Molecule: long non-coding RNA, 1665 nt
Filed under: Corvus moneduloides (New Caledonian crow)
Lineage: Eukaryota; Metazoa; Chordata; Aves; Passeriformes; Corvidae
Description: lncRNA (ENSCMUG00000018779.1)
Source: RNAcentral
AUGUCCCCAAAAUUCACCUGGGACCCCCAAAACCUCACCUGGGACCCCCCAAAAUCCACCUGGGAGCCCCAAAACCUCACCUGGGACCCCCUCAAAAUCCACCUGGGAACCCAAAACUCACCUGGGACCCCCAAAACUCACCUGGGGGACCUCAAACCCCACCUGGGACCCCCCAAAACCUCACCCGGGAUCCCCCCAAAAUCCACCUGGGACACCCCAAAACUCACCUGGGACACCCCAAAAUCCACCUGGGAACCCCCAAAAUCCACCUGGGACCCCCAAAACCCACCUGGGACCAACCAAAAUCCACCUGGGGGACCCCAGAAUCCACCUGAGAGACCCCAAAACCUCACCUGGGAGACCCCAAAAUCCACCCGGGGGACCCCCAAAACCUCACCCGGGACCCCCCAAAAUCCACCUGGGAACCCAAAACUCACCCGGGAGCCCCAAAACCUCACCUGGGGGACCUCAAACCCCACCUGGGACCCCCCAAAAUCCACCUGGGAACCCAAAAUCCACCUGGGAGCCCCAAAACCUCACCGGGGAUCCCCCCAAAAUCCACCUGGGACCCCCCAAAAUUCACCUGGGAACCCAAAACUCACCUGGGAGCCCCAAAAUCCCCCUGGGAACCCCAAAAUCCACCUGGGGGACCCCAAAACCUCACCUGGGACCCCCCAAAAUCCCCCUGGGAUCAACCAAAAUCCCCCUGGGAACCCCAAAAUCCACCCGGGACUCCCAAAACCUCACCUGGGACCCCCCAAAAUCCACCUGGGACCCCCAAAACCCACCUGGGGGACCUCAAACCCCACCUGGGACCCCCCAAAACCUCACCUGGGACCCCCCAAAAUCCAUCUGGGACCCCCAAAAUCCACCUGGGAACCCAAAAUCCACCUGGGAGCCCCCAAAACCUCACCUGGGAGCCCCAAAAUCCCCCUGGGAACCCCAAAAUCCACCUGGGGGACCCCAAAACCUCACCUGGGACCCCCCAAAAUCCCCCUGGGAACCCCAAAAUCCACCUGGGAACCCCAAACCUCACUUGGGACCCCCAAACCUCACUUGGGACCCCCAAAACCUCACCUGGGACCCCUCAAACCUCACCUGGGGCCCCCAAACCUCACCUGGGGGACCCGAGAAUCCACCCGGGGGACCCCCAAAACCUCACCUGGGACCCCCCCAAAUCCACCUGGGAACCCAAAACCUCAUCUGGGACCCCCCCAAAAUCCACCUGGGACCCCCAAAACCCACCUGGGGGACCUCAAACCCCACCUGGGACCCCCCAAAAUCCACCCGGGGGACCCCCAAAAUCCACCUGGGACCCCCAAAAUCCACCUGGGGGACCUCAAACCCCACCUGGGACCCCCCAAACCUCAACUGGGACCCCCCAAAAUCCACCUGGGAACCCAAAAUCCACCUGGGAGCCCCAAAACCUCACCUGGGACCCCCCCAAAAUGCACCUGGGACCCCCAAAAUCCACCUGGGAACCCAAAAUCCACCUGGGAGCCUCCAAAACCUCACCCGGGAUCCCCCAAAAUCCACCUGGGACUCCCAAAACCCACCUGGGAGCCUCCAAAACCUCACCUGGGAUCCCCCCAAAAUCCACCUGGGACUCCCAAAACCCACCUGGGACCCCCAAAAUCCACCUGGGGGACCCCAGAAUCCACCUGA